GACGGAGGGGGCUAGCGUUGUUCGGAAUUACUGGGCGUAAAGCGUGCGUAGGCGGCCAUUCAAGUUGGGUGUGAAAGCCCGGGGCUCAACCCCGGAAAUGCGCCCAAGACUGUUUGGCUAGAGUCCGGGAGAGGUGAGUGGAACUCCGAGUGUAGAGGUGAAAUUCGUAGAUAUUCGGAAGAACACCAGUGGCGAAGGCGGCUCACUGGACCGGUACUGACGCUGAGGCACGAAAGCGUGGGGAGCAAACAGGAUUAGAUCCCCUGGUAGCCCACGCCGUAAACUAUGAGAGCUAGACGUUGGGGGGCUUGCCCUCCUGUGUCGCAGCUAACGCGUGAAGCUCCCCGCCUGGGGAGUACGGCCGCAAGGUUA
This 372-nucleotide ribosomal RNA is filed under the name uncultured prokaryote. RNAcentral describes it as "bacterial SSU rRNA". It matches the Rfam family "Bacterial small subunit ribosomal RNA", at positions 524 to 896 of the family's 1533-position model. The record is from RNAcentral.